Long non-coding RNA from Astyanax mexicanus (Mexican tetra), 411 nucleotides. RefSeq lists it as uncharacterized. NCBI's taxonomy places the organism in Eukaryota, Metazoa, Chordata, Actinopteri, Characiformes, Acestrorhamphidae. The transcript has 2 exons. The record is from RefSeq and is a predicted model, not a curated record.
UUCCUUACUAUGUUCCUCACAGUGGAAACUGACAGGUUAAAUCUCUGAGACAACUUUUUGUAUCCUUCCCCUGAACAACUAUGUUGAACAAUCUUUGUUUUUGGAUCAUUUGAGAGUUGUUUUGAUGAGCCCAUGAUGCCACUCUUCAGAGGAGAUUCAAAUAGGAGAACAACUUGCAAUUGGCCACCUUAAAUACCUUUUCUCAUGAUUGGAUACACCUGGCUAUGAAGUUCAAAGCUCAAUGAGGUUACCAAACCAAUUUUGUGCUUCAGUAAGUCAGUAAAAAGUAGUUAGGAGUAUUCAAAUCAAUAAAAUGAUAAGGGUGCCCAUACUUCUGCACCGAUCAAAUUUUGGUUUAAUGCAUAUUGCACAUUUUCUGUUAGUACAAUAAACCUCAUUUCAAUCCUGAAA